This 465-nucleotide ribosomal RNA is filed under the name uncultured bacterium. RNAcentral's name for it is "partial 16S ribosomal RNA". It matches the Rfam family "Bacterial small subunit ribosomal RNA", at positions 28 to 507 of the family's 1533-position model. The record is from RNAcentral.
GACGAACGCUGGCGGCGUGCUUAACACAUGCAAGUCGAACGGUAAGGCCCCUUCUGGGGUACACGAUUGGCGAACGGGUGAGUAACACGUGAGCAACCUGCCCUUGACUCUGGAAUAACAGUUUGAAACAGCUGCUAAUACUGGAUAGUCAUCGUCUCCUUCCUGGGGGGUGGGGUAAAGAUCCGGCGGUCAGGGAUGGGCUCGCGGCCUAUCAGCUUGUUGGUGAGGUAAUGGCUCACCAAGGCUUCGACGGGUAGCCGGCCUGAGAGGGCGACCGGCCACACUGGGACUGAGAUACGGCCCAGACUCCUACGGGAGGCAGCAGUGGGGAAUAUUGCACAAUGGGCGCAAGCCUGAUGCAGCAACGCCGCGUGCGGGAUGACGGCCUUCGGGUUGUAAACCGCUUUCAGUAGGGACGAAGGGUGACUGACGGUACCGACAGAAGAAGGACCGGCUAACUACGUG